Molecule: ribosomal RNA, 223 nt
Filed under: uncultured bacterium
Lineage: Bacteria
Description: partial 16S ribosomal RNA
Rfam family: Bacterial small subunit ribosomal RNA
Source: RNAcentral
ACGCUCGACACCUACGGGAGUCAGCAGUAGGGAAUCUUCCACAAUGGACGCAAGUCUGAUGGAGCAACGCCGCGUGAGUGAAGAAGGUCUUCGGAUCGUAAAACUCUGUUGUUAGAGAAGAACACGAGUGAGAGUAACUGUUCAUUCGAUGACGGUAUCUAACCAGCAAGUCACGGCUAACUACGUACCAGCAGCCGCGGUAAUCUGAGCGGGCUGGCAAGGC